This 1423-nucleotide long non-coding RNA is filed under the name Balaenoptera musculus (blue whale). RNAcentral's name for it is "lncRNA (ENSBMSG00010009978.1)". Lineage: Eukaryota; Metazoa; Chordata; Mammalia; Artiodactyla; Balaenopteridae. The record is from RNAcentral.
GGGUAGCUCUCCACUGCUGGGUAGGGAAGAUGCUGCGUCCAGGUUGGCGGUGGCUUUGCCUCGGACUGUGCAGCCUCCUGCUGGGACAGGCGGAGGCCCCGAGCCCCGUGGAGCCGCCGGAGCGGAGCCGGCCGUAUGCGGUGCUGCGUGGGCAGAACCUGGCGUUGAUGGGAACUAUUUUCAGCAUCCUGCUGGUGACCGUGAUCCUUAUGGCAUUUUGCGUCUACAAGCCCAUUCGGCGCCGGUGAUGGCCAAGCCAGCCCUCCCACGAGCAUUUGGGAGCAGAAUAAGUCAUGUUGCACAUGGGUCAGUGGAGAAGGUGGAAUCAGAACUUAACUGCUUGGAAACGAUCAUCGGUCUGGACAGUUGGUAAAUGCUGAAUGAUUUAGAAAAAACAUCUACCCAUUAUCUUAUCCUAACACUGUAAUGCAAGUAUUUGGCCACUUGAGCCUGCUUCUCAGCGUUUCUUUUUAUAUCCGGCUGUACCUGUUGAAAGUAAGACCUGAAGCUCCAAGGUUCAGUGUAAAGAUGGAGUGUUCACGAGAAAGAAAACAUGACUUUGUGAGUGAUGUAAAAGCCACACUGGAAAGGAAUAAUCAUUAAUGCUUGAAAAUAUUAAGAAGAGUAAGACUUAACAUGUAGACAUUCCCUGCUUAAGAACCAUUUGGUCACAACGGGUUAAGAAUCCCAAAUGUUUUUAAUUAUCCCGAGUUGGCCUAGAUGCCCCGUUUGCAAAGCAGUGUCAGCUGUGGGGAACAUAGGCCGCCACUCCUCACUCUGCACGGAGCUCUGCACUCAGAUGCCCCCACUGAAGUUGGGGUCACACCAGCUAGGCCUGUGACCACGGGCACCCUUGGGCUGGGAGGCACUGGGGGUGGCUGGAAGUGUUAGCACUUGGCCCAUCUGAAAAAGAACUGGUCCCAUUCAAACAUGUUGAUCUCCUUGUCCUGCACUUAAGUCUUCCCAGCCCUUGGCCUAGAAGUCAGGGCAGCUUUUCUGAUUCAGAAUUGAAGAGACUCAGCAGGACCUCUUUUCCGCCCUGGGUGGGGUGGGGCUACAGAAGUGCGUGUUCACUGUGGCGGGUGGGUGUGUGUUUACACAAUUUAAUUUCAACUUUGAAAAUGCUGCUAUUCAUUUGCACUGUUGGUGAACUGGAAUUUUCCCCCAUGGAAAUGAUACUUUCGUACAUACAGUAUUUAUUUUAUUUUAAGGGUGCUAGGUUUAACUUUGUUGUUAAAUUAAAAUGCUUAUCUUGUUUGUGCUCCAUUCAAGCACAGCACUGAUUUUUUUUUUUUUAACAACCGGCACUUAAUGUGAAAUAACUGAUGUGGGAUACGGUAACUGACUUAAGGAUUUUGUUUGUAACCCUAACAUUGAGCCACUGAAACGUGCUUUUGAGCAAAAUGUCCAUUAAAAUGAAAGU